Long non-coding RNA from Rosa rugosa (rugosa rose), 1297 nucleotides. RefSeq lists it as uncharacterized. The record is from RefSeq and is a predicted model, not a curated record. The transcript has 3 exons. NCBI's taxonomy places the organism in Eukaryota, Viridiplantae, Streptophyta, Magnoliopsida, Rosales, Rosaceae.
CAUCUUCCAUUUCUAAUUGUCUACCGGAUCUGAAUGCACAAGAAGCGCCUCCAUCUCCAAAGUCGAAACUGAGCUCAUUCUCCUCUGCCAUAGCUGUGAGGCCGAGACACCAAACGGGCUCCGAUCGAGACGCCGCCCAGGAUCGAGACACCGAUCCUUCUCUUUCUCUCUUUACUGCACCUGCACGACGCGGCCGACGCCUCCUUCUUUCUCCCUCAUAGAUCGACGCACCGAGUGAGAAGGCGCCCAGCUAUGUUCCUCUCUCUCUCUCUUCACUUCACCUGCACGACGCCUCCUCUCUCCCUCACAGAUCGAGAUGCCGCCUAGGACUGCUCUGUCCUUCUCUCUUUCUCUCUUCACUUCAUCUGCCAACUCGAAGCCAGAGGAUAGGAGAUCGUUGUUCUUCAGAUUUUGAGUAAGAUUGCUUGCAAUCGGCUCCAGAAGGAGCUCGUGGAGUGGCAGGUCAAUCCUCCGGCCGACUUUAAACACAAAGUCACUGACAAUCUCCAAAGGUGGGUGACUGAAGUGAAUGGAGCACCUGGGACUCUCUAUUCGAAUGAGACCUGUCAGCUUCAGAGGUUGAUUUCCCUGAGCAUUACCCGAUGGAAGCACCACAGGUCUCUGCAAAUUCAUCACUUAUUGUCAUGUCUUAUGUCUAUUGUAUUUUUGUUUGUUUGUUCGGGUGAUUAUUAUUUGCAUAAAGUUGGUCAUGGUAACUGAUUAACAAUCUGCAAUCUUGUGGUGGGAUGAACAUGUUAUCUUUGUGCCUCCCGCUCCAAUGCUCAAUCAGGUAUGUGUAUGUUUCUACCCCAAUGUUGAAAAUUUGAGUUUUGUGUGUGUAUCUGUGGAUUCUUGAUGAGACUGAUUGUUAGUCUUGGUUUUGAGAACAAGCAUUGCAUUUAGUACUGCCAUACUCCUAGUUGAGUAAAGCUUUGGCUCUUGAAUGGUUCUUUGUUAUUGAAGUAGGUUCUCUGUGUAGUGCUAUUAAUGGUAAAGUUGCAGCUUGAAUGGUUCUUUGUUAUCUAAAUCUAUUUAUGAUGGCUAUUGUAGGGAAAACUGUGGAAGCCAAUUGAUGGAUGGCUGCAUUGCUGCUGGAUAGGAGACUGGAAAAAUGGCUUGCUAAAUUGCUGCAUCUGAAUUAGGACUUUAGGACUUUAUAUAUCAUUGGAUAUUUGUAUUUGAAUUUGGACACUUUGAAUUUGAAUUGUACCUUCAAUUGUUCUUGAUGAGUAUUUGAAUUUGUAUUUGAAUUUGGACACUUUGAAUUCGAAUUUGCAGCUUGAACUUUGUAUCUUGA